AGUGAACGCUGGCGGUAGGCCUAACACAUGCAAGUCGAACGGCAGCACAGUAAGAGCUUGCUCUUACGGGUGGCGAGUGUCGGGCGGGUGAGGAAUACAUCGGAAUCUACUUUUUCGUGGGGGAUAACGUAGGGAAACUUACGCUAAUACCGCAUACGACCUACGGGUGAAAGCAGGGGAUCUUCGGACCUUGCGCGAUUGAAUGAGCCGAUGUCGGAUUAGCUAGUUGGCGGGGUAAAGGCCCACCAAGGCGACGAUCCGUAGCUGGUCUGAGAGGAUGAUCAGCCACACUGGAACUGAGACACGGUCCAGACUCCUACGGGAGGCAGCAGUGGAGAAUAUUGGACAAUGGGCGCAAGCCUGAUCCAGCCAUACCGCGUGGGUGAAGAAGGCCUUCGGGUUGUAAAGCCCUUUUGUUGAGAAAGAAAAGCAGCAGGUUAAUACCCCGCUGUUCUGACGGUACCCAAAGAAGAAGCACCGGCUAACUUCGU
RNAcentral lists this ribosomal RNA (491 nucleotides) under uncultured bacterium. RNAcentral describes it as "partial 16S ribosomal RNA". It matches the Rfam family "Bacterial small subunit ribosomal RNA", at positions 29 to 506 of the family's 1533-position model. The record is from RNAcentral.